CUAAUCGAACCGUCUAGUAGCUGGUUCCCUCCGAAGUUUCCCUUAGGAUAGCUGGAGCCCUUAGCGAGUUCUAUUGGGUAAAGCCAAUGAUUAGAGGCAUCGGGGGCGCACCGCCCUCGACCUAUUCUUAAACUUUAAAUAGGUAGGACGGUGCGGCUGCUUCGUUGAGCGGCACCACGGAAUCGAGAGCUCCAAGUGGGCCAUUU
RNAcentral lists this non-coding RNA (206 nucleotides) under Gossypium arboreum. RNAcentral's name for it is "Eukaryotic large subunit ribosomal RNA". It matches the Rfam family "Eukaryotic large subunit ribosomal RNA", at positions 931 to 1136 of the family's 3401-position model. Lineage: Eukaryota; Viridiplantae; Streptophyta; Magnoliopsida; Malvales; Malvaceae. The record is from Rfam by way of RNAcentral.